Molecule: long non-coding RNA, 947 nt
Organism: Hemiscyllium ocellatum (epaulette shark)
Lineage: Eukaryota; Metazoa; Chordata; Chondrichthyes; Orectolobiformes; Hemiscylliidae
Exons: 4
Source: RefSeq, a predicted model, not a curated record
UCAGAAAAAACUGGCGGACGACAUCGAGAAACAAAAAGGGGAAAUGAAAGCAAAGGCAGAUGAGCUCAAGAAAAUGGAGGAAGAGAAAAAGAAAGUGGAAGCCAACCUGGAGGAGUUCAAGAAGCUCUGCGAAGUGGCCGACAAGACGAAAGAUUUGACAAAGAAACUCUGCCCACAGCAACCUUCCGUUCAGAACCAGGCCUAGUCACUCUUGCGGCCUGAUCGCAAGGGCUUACGGGACACAUCGAUCAAGACCUCAACCCCGACUGGAUUUUGCAUGCAGCUGGGCGGUGGAGACUGCGUGAUUACAGAAACGACAAAGGCCACUGCACGCACGCGCAAUGCGUACACAAUUGGAUUAGGGUGUACGCCACUAGUGGCCCCAAACCCAUCCAAUGAGGCCCAAGUGGAAUAUUCCCCCCCGCCACUCCACUCGCCCUGGACAGGGGCGGGGGGGUUUGGUGGGCUGGGGGGGGGGGGGGGGCAACACUCGAGAAGCUCGACACCAUCCACGGCAAAGUUGUCCCCCCCCCCUCCCCACCACCACUCGAUUGGCGCCGCACCCACUCAGUCGCAGCAGUGUGUACCAUCGAUAAGAUGCACCGCCAGCCUCUUCCAAAGCAAUGACCACUGCCGUUUAGACAGACCAGGGAAACACCUAGCCCCCUCCCCUCUGAGCCCCGAAUUGGAAACAUGCCGACCCUUCCCUUCCCCUGGGGCCGAACCCUUGGAGCUAACGGUGCUCCCUAAGCUGCAGGGAGCACGUGUGCGCGGUUGGAGGUGGCAGCUCACCGACACCCGUGCCAAGGGUGACUCGUUUACCCACAUGUCAACCGCGCUUUCCAAACGUUGUGACCCCCUCAACGAUGACUUGUGUACCCCGCACCUUCCAACUCCUGAAGCGGCCUCCAGAGGUGUCCCCUCCCCCAUCUCUCUCUCUCUCUCUC